This 2930-nucleotide ribosomal RNA is filed under the name Escherichia coli. Its description in RNAcentral is "23S ribosomal RNA". It matches the Rfam family "Bacterial large subunit ribosomal RNA". The record is from RNAcentral. Lineage: Bacteria; Pseudomonadati; Pseudomonadota; Gammaproteobacteria; Enterobacterales; Enterobacteriaceae.
GGGUUGUGAGGUUAAGCGACUAAGCGUACACGGUGGAUGCCCUGGCAGUCAGAGGCGAUGAAGGACGUGCUAAUCUGCGAUAAGCGUCGGUAAGGUGAUAUGAACCGUUAUAACCGGCGAUUUCCGAAUGGGGAAACCCAGUGUGUUUCGACACACUAUCAUUAACUGAAUCCAUAGGUUAAUGAGGCGAACCGGGGGAACUGAAACAUCUAAGUACCCCGAGGAAAAGAAAUCAACCGAGAUUCCCCCAGUAGCGGCGAGCGAACGGGGAGCAGCCCAGAGCCUGAAUCAGUGUGUGUGUUAGUGGAAGCGUCUGGAAAGGCGCGCGAUACAGGGUGACAGCCCCGUACACAAAAAUGCACAUGCUGUGAGCUCGAUGAGUAGGGCGGGACACGUGGUAUCCUGUCUGAAUAUGGGGGGACCAUCCUCCAAGGCUAAAUACUCCUGACUGACCGAUAGUGAACCAGUACCGUGAGGGAAAGGCGAAAAGAACCCCGGCGAGGGGAGUGAAAAAGAACCUGAAACCGUGUACGUACAAGCAGUGGGAGCACGCUUAGGCGUGUGACUGCGUACCUUUUGUAUAAUGGGUCAGCGACUUAUAUUCUGUAGCAAGGUUAACCGAAUAGGGGAGCCGAAGGGAAACCGAGUCUUAACUGGGCGUUAAGUUGCAGGGUAUAGACCCGAAACCCGGUGAUCUAGCCAUGGGCAGGUUGAAGGUUGGGUAACACUAACUGGAGGACCGAACCGACUAAUGUUGAAAAAUUAGCGGAUGACUUGUGGCUGGGGGUGAAAGGCCAAUCAAACCGGGAGAUAGCUGGUUCUCCCCGAAAGCUAUUUAGGUAGCGCCUCGUGAAUUCAUCUCCGGGGGUAGAGCACUGUUUCGGCAAGGGGGUCAUCCCGACUUACCAACCCGAUGCAAACUGCGAAUACCGGAGAAUGUUAUCACGGGAGACACACGGCGGGUGCUAACGUCCGUCGUGAAGAGGGAAACAACCCAGACCGCCAGCUAAGGUCCCAAAGUCAUGGUUAAGUGGGAAACGAUGUGGGAAGGCCCAGACAGCCAGGAUGUUGGCUUAGAAGCAGCCAUCAUUUAAAGAAAGCGUAAUAGCUCACUGGUCGAGUCGGCCUGCGCGGAAGAUGUAACGGGGCUAAACCAUGCACCGAAGCUGCGGCAGCGACGCUUAUGCGUUGUUGGGUAGGGGAGCGUUCUGUAAGCCUGUGAAGGUGUGCUGUGAGGCAUGCUGGAGGUAUCAGAAGUGCGAAUGCUGACAUAAGUAACGAUAAAGCGGGUGAAAAGCCCGCUCGCCGGAAGACCAAGGGUUCCUGUCCAACGUUAAUCGGGGCAGGGUGAGUCGACCCCUAAGGCGAGGCCGAAAGGCGUAGUCGAUGGGAAACAGGUUAAUAUUCCUGUACUUGGUGUUACUGCGAAGGGGGGACGGAGAAGGCUAUGUUGGCCGGGCGACGGUUGUCCCGGUUUAAGCGUGUAGGCUGGUUUUCCAGGCAAAUCCGGAAAAUCAAGGCUGAGGCGUGAUGACGAGGCACUACGGUGCUGAAGCAACAAAUGCCCUGCUUCCAGGAAAAGCCUCUAAGCAUCAGGUAACAUCAAAUCGUACCCCAAACCGACACAGGUGGUCAGGUAGAGAAUACCAAGGCGCUUGAGAGAACUCGGGUGAAGGAACUAGGCAAAAUGGUGCCGUAACUUCGGGAGAAGGCACGCUGAUAUGUAGGUGAAGUCCCUCGCGGAUGGAGCUGAAAUCAGUCGAAGAUACCAGCUGGCUGCAACUGUUUAUUAAAAACACAGCACUGUGCAAACACGAAAGUGGACGUAUACGGUGUGACGCCUGCCCGGUGCCGGAAGGUUAAUUGAUGGGGUUAGCGCAAGCGAAGCUCUUGAUCGAAGCCCCGGUAAACGGCGGCCGUAACUAUAACGGUCCUAAGGUAGCGAAAUUCCUUGUCGGGUAAGUUCCGACCUGCACGAAUGGCGUAAUGAUGGCCAGGCUGUCUCCACCCGAGACUCAGUGAAAUUGAACUCGCUGUGAAGAUGCAGUGUACCCGCGGCAAGACGGAAAGACCCCGUGAACCUUUACUAUAGCUUGACACUGAACAUUGAGCCUUGAUGUGUAGGAUAGGUGGGAGGCUUUGAAGUGUGGACGCCAGUCUGCAUGGAGCCGACCUUGAAAUACCACCCUUUAAUGUUUGAUGUUCUAACGUUGACCCGUAAUCCGGGUUGCGGACAGUGUCUGGUGGGUAGUUUGACUGGGGCGGUCUCCUCCUAAAGAGUAACGGAGGAGCACGAAGGUUGGCUAAUCCUGGUCGGACAUCAGGAGGUUAGUGCAAUGGCAUAAGCCAGCUUGACUGCGAGCGUGACGGCGCGAGCAGGUGCGAAAGCAGGUCAUAGUGAUCCGGUGGUUCUGAAUGGAAGGGCCAUCGCUCAACGGAUAAAAGGUACUCCGGGGAUAACAGGCUGAUACCGCCCAAGAGUUCAUAUCGACGGCGGUGUUUGGCACCUCGAUGUCGGCUCAUCACAUCCUGGGGCUGAAGUAGGUCCCAAGGGUAUGGCUGUUCGCCAUUUAAAGUGGUACGCGAGCUGGGUUUAGAACGUCGUGAGACAGUUCGGUCCCUAUCUGCCGUGGGCGCUGGAGAACUGAGGGGGGCUGCUCCUAGUACGAGAGGACCGGAGUGGACGCAUCACUGGUGUUCGGGUUGUCAUGCCAAUGGCACUGCCCGGUAGCUAAAUGCGGAAGAGAUAAGUGCUGAAAGCAUCUAAGCACGAAACUUGCCCCGAGAUGAGUUCUCCCUGACCCUUUAAGGGUCCUGAAGGAACGUUGAAGACGACGACGUUGAUAGGCCGGGUGUGUAAGCGCAGCGAUGCGUUGAGCUAACCGGUACUAAUGAACCGUGAGGCUUAACCUUACAACGCCGAAGCUGUU